RNAcentral lists this long non-coding RNA (226 nucleotides) under Musa acuminata (dwarf banana). RNAcentral describes it as "long non-coding RNA (MACU_LNC002334)". Lineage: Eukaryota; Viridiplantae; Streptophyta; Magnoliopsida; Zingiberales; Musaceae. The record is from RNAcentral.
AGAAACGUUUCCAAAAAGAUGAAACAUAUCCGAAAAAAACAAACCCAUAUUUGGUCGAUAAGAUUUUUCGAUCAGAAUCAUCAUAUUUAUUCACGUGUUUUCGGAAAAUGAUUCGUAGGGAAUGUUGUAAAAAGCAUCGAAGAGGUGAGCACCGACACUGGAAUUCGACAACAAGAAACAAUGUUUUCCCUGUUCACAGCCACAGGAAACUAACAACUGAUAAGCC